This 747-nucleotide ribosomal RNA is filed under the name uncultured Basidiomycota. RNAcentral's name for it is "LSU rRNA". It matches the Rfam family "Eukaryotic large subunit ribosomal RNA", at positions 399 to 1130 of the family's 3401-position model. Lineage: Eukaryota; Fungi; Basidiomycota. The record is from RNAcentral.
GUGAAAUUGUUGAAAGGGAAACGCUUGAAGUCAGUCACGUUGGCCGGGGAUCAACCUUGCAUUUACUUGCUGGGUGUACUUUCUGGUUUGACGGGUCAGCAUCAAUUUUGGCUGCUGGACAAAGGUAAAGGGAAUGUGGCAUCUUCGGAUGUGUUUAUAGCCCUUGAUCGCAUACAGCAGCUGGGAUUGAGGAACUCAGCAUGCCUUUAUGGCCGGGUUGUAAAACCACGUAACAUGCUUAGGAUGCUGGCAUAAUGGCUUUAAUCGACCCGUCUUGAAACACGGACCAAGGAGUCUAACAUGCCUGCGAGUGUUUGGGUGGAAAACCCAAGCGCGUAAUGAAAGUGAAAGUCGAGACCUCUGUCGUGGAAGGCAUCGACGCCCGGACCAGAUCUUUUAGUGACGGAUCCGCGGUAGAGCAUGUAUGUUGGGACCCGAAAGAUGGUGAACUAUGCCUGAAUAGGGUGAAGUCAGAGGAAACUCUGAUGGAGGCUCGUAGCGAUUCUGACGUGCAAAUCGAUCGUCGAAUCUGGGUAUAGGGGCGAAAGACUAAUCGAACCAUCUAGUAGCUGGUUCCUGCCGAAGUUUCCCUCAGGAUAGCAGAAACUCAUUAUCAGAUUUAUGUGGUAAAGCGAAUGAUUAGAGGCCUUGGGGUUGAAACAACCUUAACCUAUUCUCAAACUUUAAAUAUGUAAGAACGAGCCGUCUCUUGGUUGGACCGCUCGGCGAUUGAGAGUUUCUAGUGAG